RNAcentral lists this ribosomal RNA (262 nucleotides) under uncultured bacterium. Its description in RNAcentral is "partial 16S ribosomal RNA". It matches the Rfam family "Bacterial small subunit ribosomal RNA", at positions 92 to 354 of the family's 1533-position model. The record is from RNAcentral.
UUAGUGGCGGACGGGUGAGUAACGCGUGGGUAACCUGCCUUACACAGGGGGAUAACACUUAGAAAUAGGUGCUAAAACCGCAUAAGCGCACAGCUUCGCAUGAAGCGGUGUGAAAAACUCCGGUGGUGUAAGAUGGACCCGCGUCUGAUUAGCUUGUUGGCGGGGUAACGGCCCACCAAGGCGACGAUCAGUAGCCGGCCUGAGAGGACGGACGGCCACAUUGGGACUGAGACACGGCCCAGACUCCUACGGAAGGCAGCAG